Long non-coding RNA from Nymphalis io (European peacock), 154 nucleotides. RefSeq lists it as uncharacterized. The record is from RefSeq and is a predicted model, not a curated record. The transcript is spliced from 2 exons. NCBI's taxonomy places the organism in Eukaryota, Metazoa, Arthropoda, Insecta, Lepidoptera, Nymphalidae.
GGGUGAGUGAGCCGGUGUAAUUACAGGCACAAGGGACAUAACAUCUUAGUUCACAAGGUUGGUGGCGCAUUGGCGAUGUAAGUGAUGGUUAACAUUUCUUACAAUGCCAUUGUCUAUGGGUGUUGGUGACCACUUACCAUCAGGUGACCUAUAU